UUACAUUCUGUUCUCGACGUCGCGUUCAUUGUGGGGAGCCAUUAGCCUCGUACGCGCAAAGCAUCGUGCCAUAUUCCUAUUCGCGCCCUAAAACUAACACCAUUUUAAUAGUAGUUUUAAGUGAAAUAUUAUGAGAGUGAAGACCGAAAUGGACGACGACGAGAAGGGUAAACUUUUCGUUGGAGGAUUGUCUUGGGAAACAACGCAAGAAAACUUGCAACGUUACUUCGGUCGUUAUGGCGAAGUAAUUGAUUGCGUUGUCAUGAAAAAUAGUGAAUCUGGGCGCAGUCGUGGUUUUGGAUUUGUAACAUUUAGCGAUCCUGCUAAUGUUCCUUUGGUCCUUCAAAAUGGGCCGCAUCAGCUUGAUGGUCGUACGAUUGAUCCAAAACCAUGCAAUCCACGAACCUUACAAAAACCAAAACGUAGUGGUGGGUUUCCGAAAGUAUUUCUUGGUGGGCUUCCAAGUAAUGUGACGGAAACUGAUUUAAGAUCCUUUUUUACUCGAUUUGGCAAGGUUAUGGAAGUUGUUAUAAUGUAUGAUCAAGAGAAAAAAAAAUCAAGAGGAUUUGGCUUUCUCAGUUUUGAGGAUGAAGAUGCUGUGGACCGAUGCGUAGCAGAGCAUUUUGUCAGCUUGAAUGGAAAGCAGGUUGAAAUAAAACGAGCAGAACCACGAGAUUCUUCAAGUAAGAUGAAUGAUAGUCAUCAAGGUCAAUGGGGACCACCUCAACAAGGUGGACCACCAAUGGGUAUGGCAGGGAAUAUGGGACCGAUGGGUGGUCCAAAUGGUCAGAUGGGUGGACCUAUGAUGGGAGGACCUAUGGGACCUCCUGGAAAUAUGAUGCAACAAUAUCAAGGUUGGGGUACAAGUCCUCAAACUGGAGGUUAUGCAGGAUAUAGCACUCAGUAUAAUGCUCAGGGAUGGGGUGCACCACCAGGACCACCACAACAGCAACAAAUACCGCCACCUCCUCCACAUCAAUGGGGUAGCAGUUAUAAUGUUCAACCUGCUGCAGCAACUCAAGGCUAUGGAAGUUACGGUGGGCCGGCGUCGGCCGCUUCAGGGGGCUACGGGCCCACGGCGGGUACUGGCGGGGCUGCGGGGGGCGGGCCCGGGGGUUCUUGGAACUCCUGGAACAUGCCACAGAAUGGGCCCCCUCCUGGGACCCAGCCACCACCCCAGCCCCCUCAACCCAACUCCUCGCAGCCCAACUCCAACUCGAACCCCUCUGGCCCGCAGGGGGAUAUGUACUCAAGACAAACAACCGGCUCAGGUGCACCUGGAACUAGUAGCAGUUCGGCUAAAACAUCGGAUUACAGUGGCUAUUCUGCAUACGGUAAUUAUGCUGAUACCACUUAUCCUCAGCAACGUUCGUAUACGGGAGGAGAAAGCAACCAAGGUGGGUAUGCCGCCAGCGCCCCUAAACCUGGCCACCAAGUCUUAGAAUUCAAAGAGUGGCCCACCUCAUGACCGUUUUAAUUCAACCGUGACGGAGAAAUGCGCUGAAUGGCUUGGCCUUGCUCUCAUGAUAUGGCAACAAUAAGUGAAAUGAUGACGAACCUUUCUUCUACAAAUCAAAGAGGCUGGAACUGAAAUCGCCAAAGAGACGUUUGAUUGAAUUAUGCCAAGAGUAUGAAUUAAAAAAAAAAAAAGAAAAAAACAGACAUGGCGCUAUUA
Molecule: unclassified non-coding RNA, 1675 nt
Organism: Polistes dominula (European paper wasp)
Lineage: Eukaryota; Metazoa; Arthropoda; Insecta; Hymenoptera; Vespidae
Source: RefSeq, a predicted model, not a curated record